AUAGCGUAUAUUAAAGUUGUUGCAGUUAAAAAGCUCGUAGUUGAACUUCAGAUUUGGUCGAAUGGUCCGCCUAACGGCGUGUUACUGUUUGGCUGGGUCUUGUCUCUUGGUGAACCAUUGUGCCCUUUAUUGGUGUGCUUUGGGGAACCAGGACUUUUACCUUGAGAAAAUUAGAGUGUUCAAAGCAGGCCUAUGCCUGGAUACAUUAGCAUGGAAUAAUAGAAUAGGACGUGUGGUUCUAUUUUGUUGGUUUCUAGAAUCGCCGUAAUGAUUAAUAGGGAUAGUUGGGGGCAUUGGUAUUCAGUCGCUAGAGGUGAAAUUCUUGGAUUGACUGAAGACAGACUAUUG
This 348-nucleotide ribosomal RNA is filed under the name uncultured eukaryote. Its description in RNAcentral is "SSU rRNA". It matches the Rfam family "Eukaryotic small subunit ribosomal RNA", at positions 594 to 945 of the family's 1831-position model. The record is from RNAcentral.